UACGAAGGGGGCUAGCGUUGCUCGGAAUCACUGGGCGUAAAGGGUGCGUAGGCGGGUUUUUAAGUCAGGGGUGAAAUCCUGGAGCUCAACUCCAGAACUGCCUUUGAUACUGAGAAUCUUGAGUACGGGAGAGGUGAGUGGAACUGCGAGUGUAGAGGUGAAAUUCGUAGAUAUUCGCAAGAACACCAGUGGGCGAAGGCGGCUCACUGGCCCGUAACUGACGCUGAGGCACGAAAGCGUGGGGAGCAAACAGG
This 254-nucleotide ribosomal RNA is filed under the name uncultured bacterium. Its description in RNAcentral is "partial 16S ribosomal RNA". It matches the Rfam family "Bacterial small subunit ribosomal RNA", at positions 524 to 776 of the family's 1533-position model. The record is from RNAcentral.